Molecule: ribosomal RNA, 253 nt
Filed under: uncultured bacterium
Lineage: Bacteria
Description: partial 16S ribosomal RNA
Rfam family: Bacterial small subunit ribosomal RNA
Source: RNAcentral
UACGUAGGGUGCGAGCGUUAACCGGAAUUACUGGGCGUAAAGCGUGCGCAGGCGGCGCGUUAAGACAGGUGUGAAAGCCCCGAGCUUAACUUGGGAAUUGCGCUUGUGACUGGCGUGCUGGAGUGUGGCAGAGGGAGGUGGAAUUCCACGUGUAGCAGUGAAAUGCGUAGAGAUGUGGAGGAACACCGAUGGCGAAGGCAGCCUCCUGGGCCAGCACUGACGCUCAUGCACGAAAGCGUGGGGAGCAAACAGG